This 253-nucleotide ribosomal RNA is filed under the name uncultured bacterium. RNAcentral describes it as "partial 16S ribosomal RNA". It matches the Rfam family "Bacterial small subunit ribosomal RNA", at positions 524 to 776 of the family's 1533-position model. The record is from RNAcentral.
UACAGAGGGGGCAAGCGUUAUUCGGAAUUAUUGGGCGUAAAGGGCGCGUAGGCGGCCUGGCAAGUGGAAGGUGAAAUCCCUCGGCUUAACCGAGGAACUGCCUCCCAAACUGCUUGGCUUGAGACCAGGAGAGGUGAGUGGAAUUCCCAGUGUAGCGGUGAAAUGCGUAGAUAUUGGGAGGAACACCAGUGGCGAAGGCGGCUCACUGGACUGGUACUGACGCUGAUGCGCGAAAGCGUGGGGAGCAAACGGG